Molecule: ribosomal RNA, 306 nt
Filed under: Fusarium verticillioides
Lineage: Eukaryota; Fungi; Ascomycota; Sordariomycetes; Hypocreales; Nectriaceae
Description: eukaryotic LSU rRNA
Source: RNAcentral
AAAAAACUUCUUAAACGUGCUAGGCUCCCAGACUUCGGGGUGUCCAAGUGCUGUGUGAAAGACUCGUGGUCCACAGAAUUCUUCCAGUCACACUAUAGCGUUAUCAACCCUCACGCUCUUGGGAAGGUGUUGGGGCUUGCCGACCCCUUUGCGGCAAGCCGGCCCCGAAAUCUAGUGGCGGUCUCGCUGCAGCUUCCAUUGCGUAGUAGUAAAACCCUCGCAACUGGUACGCGGCGCGGCCAAGCCGUUAAACCCCCAACUUCUGAAUGUGACCUCGGAUCAGGUUAGGAAUAGCCCGCAGAACUA